RNAcentral lists this ribosomal RNA (406 nucleotides) under uncultured bacterium. RNAcentral describes it as "partial 16S ribosomal RNA". It matches the Rfam family "Bacterial small subunit ribosomal RNA", at positions 28 to 526 of the family's 1533-position model. The record is from RNAcentral.
GACGAACGCUGGCGGCGUGCCUAAUACAUGCAAGUCGAACGAGUGGCGGACGGGUGAGUAAUGUCUGGGAAACUGCCUGAUGGAGGGGGAUAACUACUGGCAACGGUAGCUAAUACCGCAUACCCUCGGAUGUGCCCCGAUGGGAUUAGCUAGUCGGUGGGGUAAAGGCUCACCUAGGCGACGAUACCUAGCUGGUCUGAGAGGUUGACCGGCCACACAGGAACUGAGACACGGUCCAGACUCCUACGGGAGGCAGCAGUGGGGAAUAUUGCACAAUGGGCGCAAGCCUGAUGCAGCCAUGCCGCGUGUAUGAAGAAGGCCUUCGGGUUGUAAAGUACUUUCAGCGGGGAGGCGUUACCCGCAGAAGAAGCACCGGCUAACUCCGUGCCUGCAGCCGCGGUAAUAC